RNAcentral lists this ribosomal RNA (253 nucleotides) under uncultured bacterium. Its description in RNAcentral is "partial 16S ribosomal RNA". It matches the Rfam family "Bacterial small subunit ribosomal RNA", at positions 524 to 776 of the family's 1533-position model. The record is from RNAcentral.
UACGUAGGGAGCAAGCGUUGUCCGGAAUCAUUGGGCGUAAAGCGCGCGUAGGUGGCUCUGUAAGUCCGUUGUGAAAGUCAAAGGCUCAACCUUUGAAAGCCGAUGGAUACUGCAGAGCUAGAGUACGGAAGAGGCGAGUGGAAUUCCUGGUGUAGCGGUGGAAUGCGCAGAUAUCGGGAGGAACACCAAUAGCGAAGGCAGCUCGCUGGGACGUUACUGACACUGAGGCGCGAAAGCGUGGGGAGCGAACAGG